This is a long non-coding RNA of Puntigrus tetrazona (Sumatra barb), 1582 nucleotides long. RefSeq lists it as uncharacterized. NCBI's taxonomy places the organism in Eukaryota, Metazoa, Chordata, Actinopteri, Cypriniformes, Cyprinidae. The record is from RefSeq and is a predicted model, not a curated record. The transcript is spliced from 3 exons.
AGAGAGAGAGACGAACACUCGACUUAAAAACUGAACGUCCAUUUUUAGAUUCCAAUCUGGCUCGUUCUUAUGGAAGCGCAAUUUCACCAUUAAAUACAAGAUUAAAAAAAGGUUAUGCCGACUUUUUUGUCGCACAAGUUGCAAUUCCGUGAAAAAAAAGUCAAAAUCUGCGCAAUAUAAACUCACAAUUGCGACUUUAUAAAAGUCGACUUUAUAUCUCAGAAUUUUAACUUUAAAACUCGCAAUAAAGUCUUCAUUAGGUGAAGUUAGAAAGGUCACACGUGACGUAGGCCGAAGUGUCGACUCAGUGUUUUUACGAAGCAUACACACACACACACACACACACAAAAAAAGAAAAACGUCGAAAUAGUCAAAAAUGGUAAAAGUGAAAGUUUUAAACUUUUUGUCGUUAAAAGUGGAUAAAAUUAAAAAAAAAAUUGCUAUAAAAGACCCCGUAAAGACCCCAUUGGCCGUUGAAGUCCACUAUAUAGAGAAAAGUCCUGGAAUGUUUUCGUCAAAAAACGUAUUUUCUGUACGACUGAAGAUGAAAAACAUGAACGCCUUGGAUAACAUGGGAGCGACGUCUUUUUCGAGAAGUGGUCUUGAACCUUUUAUGCUAAGCAUGACACGCUUACAACUUCGUAAAUAAUGGCAGAGGGAGGCUAGCCAACAUAUACUACAUGAUUGAGGAUGUUAUGCUAGCUCACUUUGAAGUCCUUCCAAUCACAACAAACUGACGCAAAAAUGUGCGCCUUGUUGCUAGGCGACGAUUGACGGACGACGAUUUCUAGAAUCGGCUGAAAAUAUCCGUUUCGAGAAUCAAAGUAAUAAAAAAACACGAAGAAUCAAAGUCUAAAGUAAAGAAUCGUCUGUGACUAUCAAGCCCUACUAUAUUUUCUAUGGAAUCCGUCACCUCAAAUCUGCAAAAAAAAAGUGGCUUUGACUUUAAAAACUAGCCUUAACUUCUCCAGACUGCGGGAGAUCGUGUAAUGUAUUCCAGGAUUUAGAGACGCAAUACUUUGCUAGUUCAGCGCUUCAUGCAUGACCUGUUGUUGGCACUACUUUCUGGCUCCAGAAAAAAAAUGUGCCAUGCGCCGACCCCCGGAUGAUGAAAUGGCAGCGAAGUGCAUCUGCUACGCUUCCAAACACUACAAAUGCGUGAUCCAGAGAGUUCCCGGCAUGCUUUGAAGAAUGCAGAUGAAACGAACGCAGCCUGGCCGAGCAGGAGAGCUGUGUGUGUGUGUGUGUGUGUGCUGAAGCGGGAUCAGAGUACACCGGGUGCCCUUGGCCAGACAGAUAAGCUUCAGUAAUAUGAUUACACGUCCUGCAUUGUGCAACCCAUGACUCAACCUCUAAUUACAGCUGUGCAGUGAAAUCUGGCAACCACAGCUGCUGUUUAACAUUUAAAGUCGUGUUGAAGCACAAGCGUGGAUUUAUCAUCAGAAAGCGUGUGUUGAGCAGCCGCUGACCGAGACUCUUUCACACCGAGACGAACAAUCAGAGACUGAACAAAAGACAUUCCUCCGUCAUAAAGACCUCGACAAAACCCCCACGCUGUGAGCCGAUGAACAAACAUAUAACA